GACGGGGACCCGCACAAGCAGCGGAGCGUGUGGUUUAAUUCGAUGUUACACGAAGAACCUUACCAGGGUUUGACAUGCAAGUGGUAGGAAGCCGAAAGGUGACCGACCCUUCGGGGAGCUUGCACAGGUGCUGCAUGGCUGUCGUCAGCUCGUGUCGUGAGAUGUUCGGUUAAGUCCGCUAACGAGCGCAACCCUCGCUGUGUGUUAUAUGUGUCACACGGGACUGCCGGUCUUAAGCCGGAGGAAGGUGGGGAUGAUGUCAAGUCAGCAUGGCCUUUAUAUCCUGGGCUACACACACGCUACAAUGGCCAACACAAUAGGUUGCUAAGCCGCGAGGUGGCGCCAAUCCAUAAAGUUGGUCUCAGUUCAGAUUGUAGGCUGCAACCCGCCUGCAUGAAGAUGGAGUUGCUAGUAACCGCAGGUCAGCUAUACUGCGGUGAAUACGUUCCCGGGCCUU
Molecule: ribosomal RNA, 457 nt
Filed under: uncultured Leptolinea sp.
Lineage: Bacteria; Bacillati; Chloroflexota; Anaerolineae; Anaerolineales; Anaerolineaceae
Description: bacterial SSU rRNA
Rfam family: Bacterial small subunit ribosomal RNA
Source: RNAcentral